This 110-nucleotide microRNA precursor is filed under the name Patiria miniata (bat star). RNAcentral's name for it is "microRNA pmi-mir-92b precursor". Its record names the gene pmi-mir-92b. The record is from miRBase by way of RNAcentral. Lineage: Eukaryota; Metazoa; Echinodermata; Asteroidea; Valvatida; Asterinidae.
GUACUUUGCCUUCUACUGUGUUGCCUGGUAGGUCUUGACGAGCGCCAUGUUGUCAUCUUGAGGGUAAUAUUGCACUCGUCCCGGCCUGCUGGUCAGCUCAACUACCUUGG